UACGGAGGGUGCAAGCGUUAUCCGGAUUCACUGGGUGUAAAGGGUUCGUAGGCGGUGCGGCAAGUCGGGUGUGAAAUCUCUGGGCUUAACCCAGAGGCUGCUUCCGAAACUGCUGUGCUUGAGUGUGGGAGAGGCGCGUGGAAUUGCAGGUGUAGCGGUGAAAUGCGUAGAUAUCUGCAGGAACACCCGUGGCGAAAGCGGCGCGCUGGACCACUACUGACGCUGAGGAACGAAAGCUAGGGGAGCAAACAGG
RNAcentral lists this ribosomal RNA (253 nucleotides) under uncultured bacterium. RNAcentral's name for it is "partial 16S ribosomal RNA". It matches the Rfam family "Bacterial small subunit ribosomal RNA", at positions 524 to 776 of the family's 1533-position model. The record is from RNAcentral.